GGGAUAAUAGCAAAGGUAGUCAAUGCGUUGGACUGAAAAUCCAAAGAUCUUGGUGCAACUCCAAGUUAUCCCA
RNAcentral lists this transfer RNA (73 nucleotides) under Bacteriophage sp. RNAcentral describes it as "tRNA-Phe". It matches the Rfam family "tRNA". From Rfam's summary of the family: Transfer RNA (tRNA) molecules are approximately 80 nucleotides in length. Their secondary structure includes four short double-helical elements and three loops (D, anti-codon, and T loops). The record is from RNAcentral.